This 378-nucleotide unclassified non-coding RNA is filed under the name plant metagenome. RNAcentral's name for it is "partial contains 5.8S ribosomal RNA, internal transcribed spacer 2, and large subunit ribosomal RNA". The stretch from base 1 to 105 matches the Rfam family "5.8S ribosomal RNA", at positions 50 to 154 of the family's 154-position model. The record is from RNAcentral.
GAAAUGCGAUAAGUAAUGUGAAUUGCAGAAUUCAGUGAAUCAUCGAAUCUUUGAACGCACCUUGCGCUCCUUGGUAUUCCUUGGAGCAUGCCUGUUUGAGUAUCAUGCAAUCUUCAAAGUAAAUCUUUUGUUAACUCAAUUGGUUUCUACUUUGGUAUUGUAGGUCUUUGCAGCUUCACACCUGCUCCUCUUUGUUCAUUAGCUGGAUCUCAGUGUUAUGCUUGGUUCCACUCGGCGUGAUAAGUUAUCUAUCGCUGAGGACACUGUAAAAGGUGGCCAAGGUAAAUGCAGAUGAACCGCUUCUAAUAGUCCAUUGACUUGGACAAUACUUUUAUGAUCUGAUCUCAAAUCAGGUAGGACUACCCGCUGAACUUAAGC